RNAcentral lists this long non-coding RNA (309 nucleotides) under Anthonomus grandis grandis. RNAcentral describes it as "uncharacterized LOC126744743". Lineage: Eukaryota; Metazoa; Arthropoda; Insecta; Coleoptera; Curculionidae. The record is from RNAcentral.
CCUGCUUCGUGCUGUUUUAGUUUAGUAGCCGACUAGCCGUGUUAUUACAUUAUAUUAUAAUAUAUCAUCAUAUUAUUAUAAAUUACAAUUUGUUUGAAGUGCGUAAGUGAUAACUUUGUGAUUUAUUUGUAUGUGGAGUAAUUUAAUUUGUGAUUUUUAUGUGAAACAUUAUUGUGACGGUAAUUAUUUUGGAAUCCAUUCAGGGAAGUAGAUUCGGUAGACGCAGAUGAAGCUUAAAAAGACACGAUUAAAUCCACAUUUAAAAUGUAAACUUUUUGUACUGACUAUUAAAUAUACCUAUAAAUUAUA